This 558-nucleotide ribosomal RNA is filed under the name uncultured archaeon. Its description in RNAcentral is "bacterial SSU rRNA". It matches the Rfam family "Archaeal small subunit ribosomal RNA", at positions 266 to 824 of the family's 1478-position model. The record is from RNAcentral.
GGUACGGGUUGUGAGAGCAAGAGCCCGGAGAUGGAUUCUGAGACACGAAUCCAGGCCCUACGGGGUGCAGCAGGCGCGAAAACUUUACAAUGCUGGCAACAGCGAUAAGGGAACCUCGAGUGCCAGGUUACAAAUCUGGCUGUCGAGAUGCCUAAAAAGCAUUUCAUAGCAAGGGCCGGGCAAGACCGGUGCCAGCCGCCGCGGUAACACCGGCGGCUCGAGUGGUAACCGUUAUUAUUGGGUCUAAAGGGUCUGUAGCCGGCCGGAUAAGUCUCUUGGGAAAUCCAGCAGCUCAACUGUUGGGCUUUCAGGAGAUACUGUCUGGCUCGAGGCCGGGAGAGGUGAGAGGUACUUCAGGGGUAGGGGUGAAAUCUUGUAAUCCUUGAAGGACCACCAGUGGCGAAGGCGUCUCACCAGAACGGACCUGACGGCAAGGGACGAAAGCUAGGGGCACGAACCGGAUUAGAUACCCGGGUAGUCCUAGCCGUAAACGAUACUCGCUAGGUGUCGGCCACGGUGCGACCGUUGUCGGUGCCGUAGGGAAGCCGUGAAGCGAGC